This 253-nucleotide ribosomal RNA is filed under the name uncultured bacterium. Its description in RNAcentral is "partial 16S ribosomal RNA". It matches the Rfam family "Bacterial small subunit ribosomal RNA", at positions 524 to 776 of the family's 1533-position model. The record is from RNAcentral.
CACGUAGGGCGCAAGCGUUGUCCGGAAUUAUUGGGCGUAAAGAGCUCGUAGGCGGUCUGUUGCGUCCGCUGUGAAAACUCGGGGCUUAACCCCGAGCCUGCAGUGGAUACGGGCAGACUAGAGUCAGGUAGGGGAGAACGGAAUUCCUGGUGUAGCGGUGAAAUGCGCAGAUAUCAGGAGGAACCCCGGUGGCGAAGGCGGUUCUCUGGGCCUGUACUGACGCUGAGGAACGAAAGCGUGGGGAGCGAACAGG